This 253-nucleotide ribosomal RNA is filed under the name uncultured bacterium. RNAcentral's name for it is "partial 16S ribosomal RNA". It matches the Rfam family "Bacterial small subunit ribosomal RNA", at positions 524 to 776 of the family's 1533-position model. The record is from RNAcentral.
UACAGAGGGGGCAAGCGUUGUUCGGAAUUACUGGGCGUAAAGGGCGCGUAGGCGGCCGCCUAAGUCAGACGUGAAAUCCCUCGGCUCAACCGGGGAACUGCGUCUGAUACUGGGUGGCUUGAAUUCGGGAGAGGGAUGCGGAAUUCCAGGUGUAGCGGUGAAAUGCGUAGAUAUCUGGAGGAGCACCGAUGGCGAAGGCAGCCCCCUGGGCUAACACUGACGCUCAUGCACGAAAGCGUGGGGAGCAAACAGG